This 576-nucleotide long non-coding RNA is filed under the name Equus caballus (horse). RNAcentral's name for it is "lncRNA (ENSECAG00000039254.2)". The record is from RNAcentral. Lineage: Eukaryota; Metazoa; Chordata; Mammalia; Perissodactyla; Equidae.
CUUUGCCCAGAGUGGAUGGAACGUGCCAGAAGUUGGGGAUCAAGGGGUUUGUGAACUCUCCUGCCACUUCAGUAUCCUUGUAUGGAUGAGAGCCACAGCAGAUGGAAGACGCCUUCUGACCAAAGGCCUGGGACAAGAUGACAGACAGGAGAUGACAAACCUUACAAGGUGCACAGAGCCACCAUCUCCUGAACGGGGCUGGAAUUAGAGUGAGGAUAACAGAAGAAAUUGGGCAAUCUUUUGUGAUUGUUGUAAACGAGACUUUGUGACCAUUGCUGGAUGUUUUCAGCACCCAUCUCGAGCAUGGACCAACUGAUCCUCCUUUGGCAAUCAGCACUGCGAACCCUAUUAUGCAGAUGAAGAAACUGAGGCAACGAACAGCACUCCAGGGGCACAGAGAAAGUUGUGAUGAAAUUUAGGUUAGAGGUCAAAGUUGUGCCCCACUGAGGGGAAAAGUGAGGGGGUAUCACAGAAAUUCCUUAGCCUUGGGCUUGCUCUGACAUUCCUUUAGGCUUCCGCUUCUUUCUUCUUCUGGCUGAAGAGGACUCAUUGGGAUCUCAGAGCACAAUGCACAGA